This 232-nucleotide ribosomal RNA is filed under the name uncultured bacterium. RNAcentral's name for it is "partial 16S ribosomal RNA". It matches the Rfam family "Bacterial small subunit ribosomal RNA", at positions 102 to 334 of the family's 1533-position model. The record is from RNAcentral.
ACGGCUGAGUAACGCGUGGGUGACGUACCUGUUGGUGGGGAAUAACUGCCCGAAAGGGUGGCUAAGACCGCAUACGCCCGUGGAUUCGAGACCAUGGGGAAAAACCGCAAGGUUGCCGAUGGAGCGGCCCGCGUUCGAUUAGCUAGUUGGUGGGGUAACGGCCUACCAAGGCGACGAUCGAUAGCUGGUCUUAGAGGAUGAUCAGCCAGACUGGGACUGAGACACGGCCCAG